Lolium perenne is the source of this 1768-nucleotide non-coding RNA. NCBI's taxonomy places the organism in Eukaryota, Viridiplantae, Streptophyta, Magnoliopsida, Poales, Poaceae. The record is from RefSeq and is a predicted model, not a curated record.
GCACUUUCGAUCUGUUCUCCCCUCUCCAAAGACGAGUGAGAUGGCCUGAGGGUGAGCUCGGCUCUUUGCCUGGCUAGGAGAAGGAGAAGCGAACACCGUCGGGGAGGAGAGCACGUAGCCCUGCUCGGAGAAGCGACUACCGUUGAGGAGGCGGAGGAACACGCAGAUCUUCUAUUCUUGUCCAACUUCUUCUCCAUCUGCCAUUCUGGCCGGAUGCUCUCGGUCUGCUCACAGUGAAAUAACCUUGCAGCUCCGGAGCGAAGCUAUUCCACGCAAUGUCCGACAUGUCUGAUGACGGGGAAUCCAUGGAAGCAGCUGUGGACGGCGGCGAGGACCGUAUCGGCGCCCUACAGGACGACCUCCUCAAGUACCUGAUGUCGUUCCUGCUUUCCCGCGAGGCCGUGAGGACCUGCGUCCUCGCCAAGCGCUGGCGCACGCUUUGGAAAUCCGUGCCAGCCCUGCGCAUCGACGACCCCGAGAGCUUCAAGGGUGCACGUGGCUUGAGCACGUUUGUCGACGACCUGAUUCGCCACCGCGACCCAACCCCUCUGAAUGUAUGCGACAUCAAUUUGACCCGAGCCAUAGGGAAUUCCGGCGCAUGGAACCGUGGCUCCAGUAUGCUGUAUCGCGUCAAGUUCAGGUGCUACGAGUUCGUUUUAUGUGCUGCGUACUCAAUAUGACUCUCACAUCCUCACACUUGAAGAGGUUUUCUGUGACAUCAUCUUUCAUGGAUGCAAUCUGGAUUUCUCGAGCUGUCAGGUGCUAGAGGUGUUGGAGUUCAGUAACUGUCAGAUCUCCGUGAAUAUCUCGUCCAAAUCAGUACAACAUCUAAAGAUCCAUCGCUCGCUUUUUCGCAUGAAUGCCCGCAUACACAUAUUUGCACCAAACCUUAUUGGUAUUCAACUAGCUGCUGUCAGCGGUUUCGCUCCUUUCCUUGAAUGCAUGCCGUCACUAGUAACCGCAUCUAUUAAGCUUGGAGGAGCGCGCAUGGGAGCAUGCCUGGACGGUUGUAGCUGUGGCAAUCAAUCAUGUGAGGGAUGCGAUGUUCAAACCGGAAGCAAUGACUGCUCUGUGGUUCUCAAAAGUUUGUCAGGCGCUAUGAAUUUGGAGUUAACAACAACUGAUAAUAUGUUUAUUUUCAGAAAUUAUUUGAAAUGCUACCCGUUUUUUGCCAAGCUAAAAACGCUGCUGCUCAAUGAGUGGUGUAUGGUUGAUAACUUCACUGUACUGGUUUACUUUCUUCACCACUCACCAAUUCUAGAGACGCUUACGCUGCAGCUUCAUUUUGAAACUCGGGAGGAACAGCAUGUUACCAAGACAGAUGAAAUCUACAAUUCAAGUGUACCAUCAAUUAUAUCAAAGCAUCUCAAGGUAGUCAAAAUCAUAUGUGACACAAAGGAAGAUGCAAGGGUUCACCAUAUUUUGAAGGUUCUGCGUACCCAUGGAGUACCUUCUGAGCAAAUUGACAUCCAAUAGACUCAGUUUGCCUGCUUUCAUUUCGAGCUGGAGGCGUUUAGUUGAGCCGGUCUACCUCGUCCCUGGUUAUUCGAACUUUUAUGUCCCUGGAAGUAGUACCUAUUCAUAUGAACUCGUAUGUAUUUUGCUGCGUAUCUUGUUGCCUGGAUGCACUUGAAGUGUGGUGAAGUGGCACCGUAGUCUGCUAGUGCACUUUUACUUCGUCUGAACCUGUCUAGUGUUGUGUCAGAUUAUGCUAAUAUGUAACCAUCUUAUUGUCUGGACCUCUUUCUUAGCUUCCUUGUUGGUUGAA